Molecule: long non-coding RNA, 735 nt
Filed under: Nicotiana benthamiana
Lineage: Eukaryota; Viridiplantae; Streptophyta; Magnoliopsida; Solanales; Solanaceae
Description: long non-coding RNA (NBEN_LNC002688)
Source: RNAcentral
ACAUAAAUUAAUACUUUCAAAUUCUAAUCGGAGAUGAAAAUAAGACAGCUUUAAACCAUUUUGAAUUUGAGACAAUAGCAAUAACGUAAUUGGUUGACGAAACAUAAACUUUAGCAGGAAAAUACGUAGAACAUGGGUUGCAGCAAUUUAGGGGUUGAAUUCUUAUUACAUCACUUUUUAACGAUUGAAGCAUGAAAAAUAAAUAGAGACGGAUCUAAAAUUUUGUAAAGAUGGUUACACUAUUACGAAGAGAUAAAUCUAAGAUAUAAAUCCCAGAAUAGUGCUUGAAGUUCGAAACAAUUCGCAAUUUGAGAAGUAUGGCAAAUCUGUUGAACACCUUGGUGGUUCACAAAUUAUUACUCAAAAAAUUUACCAAAUUUCAAUGGUUAUAUGGAAUUUGCACCUCCCAUUUCUCUCUAUAUUUUAGUUUAUAGGACCAGUGUUCCACCUCAUCGGUGACUCGUGCUUUGUGAGUUAUGGUACGAACUACGAAGUAUCAAGUUGAAAAGGCAAAAACAAGGUGAUAGACAACAAAAAGAGCAGCAGGAAGGACUCUUUUGUUGACCAAAAAUGAAACAAAUUGCUUCAAUGAUUGGUAACAAACAAGGGAGAGAAAUUUUGUAGGAAAACAAUUUAAAGGUAGAAGACCUUUAAAUGUAAAAAGGAAAGAGUUUUUGUUUAGUUGAUAAAUGAAGAAAUGGAGGUAGUUUGGAAGGUUUAAUAUAUGUAGCUAUA